RNAcentral lists this long non-coding RNA (290 nucleotides) under Vigna radiata. RNAcentral describes it as "long non-coding RNA (VRAD_LNC000160)". Lineage: Eukaryota; Viridiplantae; Streptophyta; Magnoliopsida; Fabales; Fabaceae. The record is from RNAcentral.
GAACAGCAUACAUGGUAUAUUUCCUCAACUGAAGAAAUGAACGAAACCCAGUCAAAUUGUCAAGAUGAACACAAGUAUAUAUGGAAAGAAUGCAGGCUACUACAAUAUGAAUGAAACUGGAAGAUCGAGUAUAAGCCACAUCUCGCUGUACAACUGGGAAAGAAUGCAGGCUACAAUAUGAAUGAAACCCAGACAAGGGAUCAUUACAAGUUGAAAGAAUUACAAGUUCUAUUUGAAGAUGGAAUAUAAGCUCCAUCUCGCUGUACAACUUGAAAGAAUGCAAUGUGCAG